CUGGAUGUCUGUGCCAGUCCUUGCAGAUACUCAGAGCCUCCUCUCAUUCCAGCUCUUUGAGGCUCAGCGCUGCCAUAGGCAGCAGGAGCAACAUGCACAGGCAGAGGGAGGAGUCUGCUGUACUGGGCUCACUGCUCAGGGAUGAGUCCUGCAAGUCCAGAUCUCCUCCUGAGGCCCCAGAGAGCUCUUUCUCUGGGUGGAAGGUUCUCUUUCCCCGUUUGUCUUGUGGACACAGUUUGCAGGAAACGUCAGCCAGCG
This 258-nucleotide long non-coding RNA is filed under the name Serinus canaria (Common canary). RNAcentral describes it as "lncRNA (ENSSCAG00000010601.1)". Lineage: Eukaryota; Metazoa; Chordata; Aves; Passeriformes; Fringillidae. The record is from RNAcentral.